RNAcentral lists this transfer RNA (94 nucleotides) under Planctomycetales bacterium. Its description in RNAcentral is "tRNA-OTHER". RNAcentral also lists the same sequence under 1 other name. The record is from RNAcentral. Lineage: Bacteria; Pseudomonadati; Planctomycetota; Planctomycetia; Planctomycetales.
GGCCCGUUCGUCUAUCGGCGCAGGAUACCGCUCUUUGGGCAUCGACGCGCAGCGUUGGUCGACGGAGAGAUGAGUUCGAUUCCCAUACGGGCUG